AACGCACAUUGCGCCCUCUGGCAUUCCGGAGGGCAUACCUGUUCGAGCGUCAUUACAACCCUCAAAGAUGACUCUUUGGCGUUGGGCGAUGCCUGGAGGCAUGCCCCAAAAUCAGCGAUGGCGGCCUUCGGCCACGGGCGCACAAAGGUGUCCAGCGGCCGGACGUCGUCAGCCGAUUGACGAAUCUCCAAAUGUUGACCUCGGAUCAGGUAGGGAUACCCGCUGAACUUAA
This 232-nucleotide unclassified non-coding RNA is filed under the name uncultured fungus. RNAcentral's name for it is "sequence contains ITS2". Lineage: Eukaryota; Fungi. The record is from RNAcentral.